Antechinus flavipes (yellow-footed antechinus) is the source of this 1829-nucleotide long non-coding RNA. RefSeq lists it as uncharacterized. NCBI's taxonomy places the organism in Eukaryota, Metazoa, Chordata, Mammalia, Dasyuromorphia, Dasyuridae. The transcript is spliced from 2 exons. The record is from RefSeq and is a predicted model, not a curated record.
UCCUUAUUCCUUUCCUUGGAAAAGUGGCACCCAUUUCUGGGGGUAUUUUUUAAUUCUGUCAAAAAAUGCAUCUGAGGUUGUAAUAUUCUAUCUCAUAACCAUCCCUGGUUGACCCUUUGCAUUUCCUUUUGCCACAGCUUGAGAAGAUAGUGAAGAACCACAUAAGGAGAUUUUGUAUUUCUGGAAUCUUCCCCCCACUCCAACCCAUUGUUAAGAAGAUUUUUCUUUCUAACUGAGGGCCUCAUCCUAAGCUAUUCAAAUGUUUCACUUCUAUACUUCCAAAAUGACUGAACCUCUGCAUUUACAUCUAUUCAUAAAGCCACAAAUCUAAUCUGUUGGAACCUUUAGGGCAGGAAUCUUCCCCUGUAGUCCAUGGCUCCCCAAUCAUGGAUUUCAGGAGGGUUCGUGAACUUGGAUUGGAAAAAAAAUCUUUAUUUUCAGUAGCUGUUAACAGAAAUUAAAGAAAAUUAAACUUCCUUUAGUAUUGUCAUCAUCAUCAUCAUUCUGAGAAGACUGCGGAAUGGAUCCAAGACAUUAAAAAUGUUCUUAAUUCUGAUCUACUGGUUCCAACUUAAAAAAAAAUGAAUCAGCAAGAUGAAAAAACAAUGUAUGAUAAAAUAUCUAGCAGGCAGAUGCCUUCCCACAGUUUCUUCUAGACCCAAGGUGUGCCAUAAAGGACAUACUCUGAACCAGGUAUUCCAGUAAGGGUAAGAGUUCAACUGAUUUGUCUCCCAAUAGCUGUUCCUAUUAGAAGCAGAGUGUAGUAAAUACAAUCCAGCUUCCUUCUGAUAUUUAACUCAGAAGGCUAGUCAUUAGGUAAAAAACUCUGCACUUUAUAUAUUCCCAGAGAGAACAAUAAGGGAUCUUAAAGGUCAGCCAUUCCGACUUUCUCAUUUGAAAGCUAAGAUCAUGAAAACCCAGAGAGAUGAGCUUGCCCAAAGUCAUGCAGGUAAGUGGAAGAGAUGGGGUUCAAACCAAUGCAGAAUUGGCAAGAACACCGGCUCUGGGAAGAAUUGGGUUUAAUCCUGCCUCUGCAGGACAAAUCAUUUAAUCUCCCUAGAUUUUGGUUUCCUUAUUUGCAUAAUGAGGACAUGUAAGAUGACAUCCAAGAUGCCAUUCAGUUCCAGAUUAUUACUCUCCUAUAGUAUCCCCCAUAAGUGGUCACCCUACCCUGAUUUAAAGAUCUCCAGUGAAGGGGAAUGUGUCACUCUCCAAGAGCCCAUUCCACUUUAGGGCAGCUCUGAUUACUAGGAAGUUUUUUCACCCUGACAUCAGGUUUAAAUUUACCAUUUGCAACUUCCACCAAUUGUUCCUUAUGGUCUCUGGGGCCAAACAGGACAAUAUUAAUCUUUUUUACACAAGAUAAACCCUUCAAACACUUCAAGACAAUUAUCAUUGCUCUCCUUGAGUUUUCUCUCCUUUGUACUAAAUAAUCCUAAUUCUUUCAACAGAUUUUAUGAUGUGGAUUCAAGACCCUUCUUGAACUAUCCUUGUUGACCUCCUCCAGUCAUUCUUCAGAUGCAGUUUCCAAGCUAGACUGGGAGCACAAAUCAUGGUGAUCCAGGAGUUCCAGGAAUCCAAGCCAGGUCCUGCAGCCCUCAUAGCACUGAGCCCUCAAAGAGCACAGCACAUAUAUAUGGAGUUGCCCUUCGGAUUCUAGCCUACUAGCCUGGGACAAUGCAGCCUCAAGCUCAUGCUUAAUUGUAAACCUAAAUUCUUAUCCCCAGACCCAGGUGGUCCAGAAAAAAUUAUGCCUGACAUGUUGGGAGAAAUGUUUGUAAUUUGUUCAUUCUAUGUCUUUGAAAUAAAAGUUAAUUGGAUAAAGGGAA